Molecule: ribosomal RNA, 1127 nt
Filed under: uncultured Bdellovibrio sp.
Lineage: Bacteria; Pseudomonadati; Bdellovibrionota; Bdellovibrionia; Bdellovibrionales; Pseudobdellovibrionaceae
Description: bacterial SSU rRNA
Rfam family: Bacterial small subunit ribosomal RNA
Source: RNAcentral
UAGGGCACCUAAACAUGCAAGUCGAACGAGAAAGCUCCUUCGGGGGUGAGUAGAGUGGCGCACGGGUGAGUAACGCGUAGGUAACCUGCCCUUUUGUGGGGGAUAACCAGAAGAAAUUCUGGCUAAUACCGCAUACGUAGUACGACAUGGGAAAAGUACUAGAAAGGAUGCCUCUACUUGUAAGCAUUCACAGAAGGAUGGGCCUGCGUUGCAUUAGCUUGUUGGUGGGGUAAUGGCCUACCAAGGCGACGAUGCAUAGCUGGUCUGAAGGAUGAUCAGUCACACUGGAACUGAGACACGGUCCAGACUCCUACGGGAGGCAGCAGUGGGGAAUAUUGCGCAAUGGGGGAAACCCUGACGCAGCAAUGCCGCGUGAGUGAGGAAGGCCUUCGGGUUGUAAAGCUCUGUCAGAUAAAAGAAUGGUCACGGGUCUAAUAGGCGGGUGAUUUGACGGUACUAUCAAAGGAAGCACCGGCUAACUUCGUGCCAGCAGCCGCGGUAAUACGAGGGGUGCAAGCGUUGUUCGGAUUUACUGGGCGUAAAGCGCGCGCAAGCGGAUUAUUAAGCCAGAUGUGAAAUCCCGGGGCUCAACCCCGGAACUGCGUCUGGAACUGGUAAUCUAGAGUUAUAGAGGGGAGAGCGGAAUUUCGCAUGUAGGGGUAAAAUCCGUAGAGAUGCGAAGGAACACCAGCGCCGAAGGGGGCUCUCUGGCUAUUAACUGACGCUGAGGCGCGAAAGCGUGGGUAGCAAACAGGAUUAGAUACCCUGGUAGUCCACGCCGUAAACGAUGAGUACUAGAUAUUGGAGCCUUUGACCGCUUCAGUGUCGCAGCUAACGCAUUAAGUACUCCGCCUGGGAAGUACGGUCGCAAGACUAAAACUCAAAGGAAUUGACGGGGGCCCGCACAAGCGGUGGAUUAUGUGGUUUAAUUCGAAGCAACGCGCAGAACCUUACCUAGGCUUGAAAUCCCGAGAGAUCGACCAAAAUUGAUUGUGCUCUUCGGAGAACUCGUUGACAGGCGCUGCAUGUGUCGUCAGCUCGUGUCGUGAGAUUAGUCUCGCACGAGCGCACCCUAUGCGCAUGCUCUAGGUACCUGCUACGAAAGUCCGACGUCAGUCCAUCCUUAU